AACGCGAAGAACCUUACCUACCCUUGACAUCCUAAGAAUCUUAUAGAGAUAUGAGAGUGCCGAAAGGAACUUAGAGACAGGUGCUGCAUGGCUGUCGUCAGCUCGUGUUGUGAGAUGUUGGGUUAAGUCCCGUAACGAGCGCAACCCUUAUCCUUAGUUACCAGCAUGUAAUGGUGGGGACUCUAAGGAGACUGCCGGUGAUGAACCGGAGGAAGGCGGGGACGACGUCAAGUCAUCAUGGCCUUUAUGGGUAGGGCUACACACGUGCUACAAUGGGCAGUACAGAGGGAAGCGAAGCCGCGAGGUGAAGCGAACCCCAGAAAGCUGCUCGUAGUCCGGAUUGAAGUCUGCAACUCGACUUCAUGAAGUCGGAAUCGCUAGUAAUCGCGAAUCAGAACGUCGCGGUGAAUACGUUCCCGGGCCUUGUACACACCGCUCGUC
This 441-nucleotide ribosomal RNA is filed under the name uncultured bacterium. Its description in RNAcentral is "bacterial SSU rRNA". It matches the Rfam family "Bacterial small subunit ribosomal RNA", at positions 958 to 1398 of the family's 1533-position model. The record is from RNAcentral.